UUAAAUCCAAGCCCUAAUCCACUUCCCACUCCCUCCGAUUCCAACUACGCCUCCGCUCCCCCCUUCUCCACCAAUUAUCCUGCCUCCGAUUACCCUGCUUAUUCCCCUAAUUAUCCCCCUUACUCCCAGAAUCCCGAUCCCGUCCCUGCUUCUCCUACUGCUCCUCUUUACAAUCCUCCCUCAUCCAAUCCUAAUCCCAAUCCUCAGACAUUUAAUCCCACUUCUCAACCACCUGCUUUCCCUUCCUUUGAGUCUCAUGUUCCUUAUCAAUCUCCUUCUCAGUCCCAAUCGUAUUAUUCAACCUACGAUCAGCAUCAUACGGCUCCUAAUUAUGCCCCUACUCCUACUCCUCCACCUUCCUCAAUUCCGAUGAAUCAGACCUCUAAUUCUACCCCUAGUCCUAAUUCUCCCUACUCCCCCAUGUAUUCCGCUCCCUUUGGCUCUUUGGCUCCCCCCUCGUAUGAAAACCCGUAUGAAAGUUCUGUAAAAUUUGAUCAAGGAGGU
Molecule: long non-coding RNA, 504 nt
Filed under: Cucumis sativus (cucumber)
Lineage: Eukaryota; Viridiplantae; Streptophyta; Magnoliopsida; Cucurbitales; Cucurbitaceae
Description: long non-coding RNA (CSAT_LNC001321)
Source: RNAcentral